This is a long non-coding RNA of Neofelis nebulosa (Clouded leopard), 468 nucleotides long. RefSeq lists it as uncharacterized. The record is from RefSeq and is a predicted model, not a curated record. The transcript is spliced from 3 exons. NCBI's taxonomy places the organism in Eukaryota, Metazoa, Chordata, Mammalia, Carnivora, Felidae.
UCCAAAGCUUUUCUGAUUCCUGGAAGUUUUGAGAGAACUGCUCAACAACAAAACCAGUACUCUGGAGCAGAGCUGUGCUAUUACCUGCCAUAAAAUGAACAUAUGGAAAGUGCUUAAGUGAAUGCUUAGCCCUUUACUGGAUCACAAAACUGGCCAAUCAAUGGAGAUUCUUUUCCCCUAAAGUCUUGGAGAAGAAAACCAUUACAUUGUGCCUAAUAGUGUCAGAUGGCUGAUGGUACAGAUGGUCGGACUGAGAAAUGGUCUCCAUCCUUUCCACACUCCAUGAGCACAUGAACACAACCCCUUGUCUAGAGAUGUUAUUAUGAGCAAGAAGUUCAGAGAUUUCAUGAAACCCAGGAGGGCUUUCUGAAGAGCAACUAUGAAGCCCCAACAAAAGUUGCCCCAGCAAAAUUUCCCAUACCAAUUAAAUACGCUAAAGAUGGCUUACAUGGAGAUUAACCUCUGGGU